CUGCAUUGCACCUGAGAUUGAUAAAUGUCUGUUAUCCCGGAGAAGAUGACCGCCGGGUAUCUUGGAUGACCAGCAGCCCGCGGUACUAUCGAAGGGAGGCCGAGCGUGUAUCGGAAUUACUGGGCGUAAUGCUCACGUAUGACGGAGCGAUAAGUCAGGGUGAAAUCCCAUGUGAUCAACCCUGGAAAUGCCUUUGAUACUGUCGAUCUGGAGUAUGGAAGAGGUGAGUGGAAUUCCGAGUGUAGAGGUGAAAUUCGUAGAUAUUAGGAGGAACACCAGUGGAGAUGGGGACUCACUGCUGCAUUAAUGACGAUGAGGUGGGAAAGUGUGGGGAGCAAGCAGGAUUAGAUACCCUAGUAGUCCAGGCUGUAUACCAUGAUUGUUAGCCGUCGGGCAGUAUACUGUUAGGUGUCGCAGCUAAUGCAUUAAGCAGUCGGCGUGGGGAGUACGGUCGCUAGAUUAAAACUCAAAGGAAUUGACGGGGGCCCUCACAAGAGGUGGAGCAUGUGGUUUAAUUCGAAGCAACGCGCAGAACCUUACCAACCCUUGACAUGCCCGGUUCCUCGCAGAGACACACGGUUCCCUUCGGGGACCUGGACACAGGCGUUGCAUGGCUGUGGUCAGGUUGUGUCAUGAGAGUUUUGGUUAAGUCCCGCAACGAGCGCAACCCUCGCCCUUAGUUACCACCAUUCAGUUCGGCACUUUAAGGGGACUACUGGGGAUAUGCAGAGAGGAAGGUGGGGAUGACCUCAAGUCAUCAUGGCCCGUACGGGAUGGGUUACACACGUGCCACAAUGGGGGUCACAGUGGGCACAGAGCACGCGAGUGUGAGUUAAUCUCCAAAAGUCAUCUCAGUUCGGAUUGCCCUCUGCAACUCGAGGGCAUGAAGUUGGAAUCGCUAGUAAUCGCGGAUCAGCAUGCCGCGGU
Molecule: ribosomal RNA, 927 nt
Filed under: Rhizobium sp.
Lineage: Bacteria; Pseudomonadati; Pseudomonadota; Alphaproteobacteria; Hyphomicrobiales; Rhizobiaceae
Description: bacterial SSU rRNA
Rfam family: Bacterial small subunit ribosomal RNA
Source: RNAcentral